GGACUCUUUGUGCUUCUUUCUGGAUUUGUCUGUUCAUCAGCAAACAGUUCCCUUACUGAUGAACACAGGUUCCCAGUCACGAUAUAAUUAAUCCUACGUUUAUAAUAAGAAGAUUACAUAAGCAACAAGAAUCGGUAAUAAAGGGAAAUAAUUUAUAGAAAAAUAAAUAAAUAAAACAAGGUGAUGACAGUUAUAAAUUCAUUGAUAAAUUAUUUAUAUUAUCUGGGAGUCUUACCUUGGAACCGGUCUUGUUAUUGUUAAACACGUUUGCAGGCUGAAUAGAAGCAAAGUAUCAAGCCAAAGAUUUCCUUGGCAUUAUCAAUGAUCCUGCUUAUAAGAUGAUAGCAUAAGCAACGAGGUUAAAGAAUUGGUAAUUAUCAGAGAGCAGAUUAAAUUAAGACAAGUGUUCUCCUUGUAGAGCAACAAAUGUUAAAGAGU
RNAcentral lists this long non-coding RNA (438 nucleotides) under Populus trichocarpa (black cottonwood). Its description in RNAcentral is "long non-coding RNA (PTRI_LNC002348)". Lineage: Eukaryota; Viridiplantae; Streptophyta; Magnoliopsida; Malpighiales; Salicaceae. The record is from RNAcentral.